GGACUACCCGGGUUUCUAAUCCCGUUUGCUCCCCUGGCUUUCGCGCCUCAGCGUCAGAAGAGGUCCAGCACGCCGCUUUCGCCACCGGCGUUCCUUCCGAUAUCUACGCAUUUCACCGCUCCACCGGAAGUUCCGCAUGCCCCUACCUCCCUCAAGACCACCAGUAUCCAAGGCACUUCCCCAGUUGAGCUGGGGGCUUUCACCCCGGACUUGAUGACCCGCCUACGCGCCCUUUAAGCCCAGUGAUUCCGAACAACGUUUGCACGGUUCGUCUUACCGCGGCGGCUGGCAC
RNAcentral lists this ribosomal RNA (292 nucleotides) under uncultured bacterium. Its description in RNAcentral is "partial 16S ribosomal RNA". The record is from RNAcentral. RNAcentral also lists the same sequence under 2 other names.